RNAcentral lists this ribosomal RNA (430 nucleotides) under uncultured bacterium. RNAcentral describes it as "bacterial SSU rRNA". It matches the Rfam family "Bacterial small subunit ribosomal RNA", at positions 354 to 796 of the family's 1533-position model. The record is from RNAcentral.
GUGGGGAAUAUUGCACAAUGGGCGAAAGCCUGAUGCAGCAACGCCGCGUGAGGGACGACGGCCUUCGGGUUGUAAACCUCUUUUAGUAGGGAAGAAGCGAAAGUGACGGUACCUGCAGAAAAAGCACCGGCUAACUACGUGCCAGCAGCCGCGGUAAUACGUAGGGUGUAAGCGUUAUCCGGAAUUAUUGGGCGUAAAGAGCUCGUAGGCGGUCUGUCGCGUCUGCUGUGAAAACUGGAGGCUCAACCUCCAGCCUGCAGUGGGUACGGGCAGACUAGAGUGCGGUAGGGGAGAUUGGAAUUCCUGGUGUAGCGGUGGAAUGCGCAGAUAUCAGGAGGAACACCGAUGGCGAAGGCAGAUCUCUGGGCCGUAACUGACGCUGAGGAGCGAAAGCGUGGGGAGCGAACAGGAUUAGAAACCCGAGUAGUCC